CUGCUGCCUCCCGUAGGAGUCUGGGCCGUGUCUCAGUCCCAGUGUGGGGGGCCUUCCUCUCAGAACCCCUACGCAUCGUCGCCACGGUGGGCCGUCACCCCGCCGUCUAGCUAAUGCGCCGCAUGCCCAUCCGCCACAGGAUCGCUCCUUUGGCCACCGGAGGAUGCCCUCCGGUGGCGUCACGGGGUAUUAGGCCGCGUUUCCGCGGGUUAUCCCCCUGUGGCGGCCAGGUUGCAUACGUGUUACUCACCCGUGCGCCGGUCCGG
Molecule: ribosomal RNA, 266 nt
Filed under: uncultured bacterium
Lineage: Bacteria
Description: partial 16S ribosomal RNA
Source: RNAcentral